Molecule: non-coding RNA, 72 nt
Organism: Podarcis lilfordi (Lilford's wall lizard)
Lineage: Eukaryota; Metazoa; Chordata; Lepidosauria; Squamata; Lacertidae
Source: the annotation of a GenBank genome assembly
GGACCACAGCUCAGUGGCAGAGUGCAUGGUCUUGUGUGUCAAAGGUCUCAGGUUCGAUCCCUGGUGUCUCCU